This 363-nucleotide unclassified non-coding RNA is filed under the name uncultured bacterium. RNAcentral's name for it is "contains 16S-23S intergenic spacer region". The record is from RNAcentral.
UCCCCGUUACCGGGGCAGUCUGAAUAGAAAAAUACAACUAUUCACAAGGGUUGCGCUCGUUGAUGGACUUAACCAAACAUCUCACGACACGAGCUGACGACGGCCAUGCAACAUCUGUCACUUGGCUCAAUAAAGCACUCACUUCUUUCGAGGUGAUUCCAAGGAUGUCAAGCCCUGGUAAGGUUCUACGUUUACCAUCGAAUUAAAGAACACGAUCCACCGCUUGUGCGGGUCCCCGUCAAUUCCUUUAUGUUUUAGCCUUGCGGCCGUACUACACAGGCGGGAUACUUAACGCGUUAGCUUCGCUACCGAAGGGGUCGAUACCCCCGACAGCUAGUAUCCAUAGUUUACGGCGUGGACUAC